UACAGAGGUCCAACGUUUGUUCGGAUUCACUGGGCGUAAAGGGUGCGUAGGUGGCUUCGUAAGUCCGUUGUGAAAGUCAAAAGGUCAACCUUUGAAAGCCGAUGGAUACUGCGGAGCUAGAGUACGGAAGAGGCGAGUGGAAUUCCUGGUGUAGCGGUGGAAUGCGCAGAUAUCAGGAGGAACACCAAUAGCGAAGGCAGCUCGCUGGGACGGUACUGACGCUGAGACGCGAAAGCGUGGGGAGCGAACAGG
RNAcentral lists this ribosomal RNA (252 nucleotides) under uncultured bacterium. Its description in RNAcentral is "partial 16S ribosomal RNA". It matches the Rfam family "Bacterial small subunit ribosomal RNA", at positions 524 to 776 of the family's 1533-position model. The record is from RNAcentral.